RNAcentral lists this ribosomal RNA (254 nucleotides) under uncultured bacterium. RNAcentral describes it as "partial 16S ribosomal RNA". It matches the Rfam family "Bacterial small subunit ribosomal RNA", at positions 524 to 776 of the family's 1533-position model. The record is from RNAcentral.
UACAGAGACUGCAAGCGUUUAUUCGGAUUCACUGGGCGUAAAGGGUGCGCAGGCGGCCGUGUGUGUGAGGCGUGAAAGCCCGGGGCUUAACCCCGGAAUUGCACCUCAAACUACACGGCUAGAGCAUUGGAGAGGGUAGCAGAAUUCACGGUGUAGCAGUGAAAUGCGUAGAUAUCGUGAGGAAUACCAGAGGCGAAGGCGGCUACCUGGACAAUUGCUGACGCUCAGGCACGAAAGCGUGGGGAGCAAAAGGG